This is a long non-coding RNA of Falco peregrinus (peregrine falcon), 772 nucleotides long. RefSeq lists it as uncharacterized. Lineage: Eukaryota; Metazoa; Chordata; Aves; Falconiformes; Falconidae. The record is from RefSeq and is a predicted model, not a curated record. The transcript is spliced from 3 exons.
GGAGGAGGAGGAGGAGGAGGGCGAGGGCAUCCCCGCGCAUGGCGGCCGGGGCUGGCACCGCGGCCCCCGGGGCCGCCGCGGGGCCGCCGCCGGGCGGCACGAGGUGCCGUGCCACAGCCGCGGCGGCCGUCGGGUGACCUGUGUGCCCCGUGCAGGGCGCGGCGCCGCCUGCGGGGCGCUCCGGGGGCGACGGGGAGCGGGGGCGGCGCCCCCCGCCCGGCGCUGCCGCAGUCCCGCCGUACUCGGUACUUUUAACGGGCCUGCGGUGCGCGGCCCUCCCGCUCCGGUGGGCACUUGGGCAGCCUGCGCCGGGCAGUCGCGACUGAGCGGGGAGUCGUGUUUGGCGUCAGUGGCUUAUGCGAGAGCAGACCGUAUCGCGUGUUCAGGGUACCAAACAUACAGGUUCCAGCCCGGGCUUGAUGCAUAGUACUACGGGAUCCUGCUGAAUUUCUAAGAAAACUUGAUUGUGUUCAGGGAAGAAGAAGGUAUCCUAUCAUGAGAAAAAAAGAAGAAACAUGCAAAUCCAGAAGGAAUUAUGUUCUAAACCCAAGACCUAUUUUGUUUCAUUUUGUUUUGGUUUUAUGUGCAUUAGUGCAUCAUUAAAUAGUGUCUACUAUUUGGAAGUGCCAUCAGGAAACGUACCGAAUAGAAAUGAAGAACAAGACUCUGUUAUAUCCUUCAUAUUCCUUGCUUUUAAUUUAGACUUUGACUGAGCCAAAGGUUGACGAGCAUCUGGGAAGUAUCUGAAUAAAAAAGCGAGACCAGAAAUGGU